GACGAACGCUGGCGGCGUGCUUAACACAUGCAAGUCGAACGGAAAGGCCCUGCUUUUGUGGGGUGCUGGAGUGGCGAACGGGUGAGUAACACGUGAGUAACCUGCCCUUGACUUUGGGAUAACUUCAGGAAACUGGGGCUAAUACCGGAUAGGAGCUCCUGCUGCAUGGUGGGGGUUGGAAAGUCUCGGCGGUUGGGGAUGGACUCGCGGCUUAUCAGCUUGUUGGUGGGGUAGUGGCUUACCCAGGCUUUGACGGGUAGCCGGCCUGAGAGGGUGACCGGCCACAUUGGGACUGAGAUACGGCCCAGACUCCUACGGGGGGCAGCAGUGGGGAAUAUUGCACAAUGGGCGGAAGCCUGAUGCAGCAACGCCGCGUGCGGGAUGACGGCCUUCGGGUUGUAAACCGCUUUCGCCUGUGACGAAGCGUGAGUGACGGUAAUGGGUAAAGAAGCACCGGCUAACUACGUG
This 468-nucleotide ribosomal RNA is filed under the name uncultured bacterium. RNAcentral's name for it is "partial 16S ribosomal RNA". It matches the Rfam family "Bacterial small subunit ribosomal RNA", at positions 28 to 507 of the family's 1533-position model. The record is from RNAcentral.